RNAcentral lists this ribosomal RNA (492 nucleotides) under uncultured bacterium. RNAcentral's name for it is "partial 16S ribosomal RNA". It matches the Rfam family "Bacterial small subunit ribosomal RNA", at positions 36 to 507 of the family's 1533-position model. The record is from RNAcentral.
AUUUCCCUCUUUCUUUAUUCCUAACACAUGCAAGUCGAACGGCAGCACAGUAAGAGCUUGCUCUUACGGGUGGCGAGUGGCGGACGGGUGAGGAAUACAUCGGAAUCUACUUUUUCGUGGGGGAUAACGUAGGGAAACUUACGCUAAUACCGCAUACGACCUACGGGUGAAAGCAGGGGAUCUUCGGACCUUGCGCGAUUGAAUGAGCCGAUGUCGGAUUAGCUAGUUGGCGGGGUAAAGGCCCACCAAGGCGACGAUCCGUAGCUGGUCUGAGAGGAUGAUCAGCCACACUGGAACUGAGACACGGUCCAGACUCCUACGGGAGGCAGCAGUGGGGAAUAUUGGACAAUGGGCGCAAGCCUGAUCCAGCCAUACCGCGUGGGUGAAGAAGGCCUUCGGGUUGUAAAGCCCUUUUGUUGGGAAAGAAAAGCAGCAGGUUAAUACCCCGCUGUUCUGACGGUACCCAAAGAAUAAGCACCGGCUAACUUCGUG